Molecule: ribosomal RNA, 303 nt
Filed under: uncultured bacterium
Lineage: Bacteria
Description: partial 16S ribosomal RNA
Rfam family: Bacterial small subunit ribosomal RNA
Source: RNAcentral
GAUAAACGCUGGCGGCGUGCCUAACACAUGCAAGUCGAACGCCCUUUUGCGCAAGUGAGAGGGAGUGGCGGACGGGUGAGUACCACGUGGGUACCUACCUUGAGGUGAGGAAUACCACCGAGAAAUCGGUGACAAGACCGCAUACGCUCGGGCAACCGAGCAAAGUCAUGCAAAUGACGCCACAAGAUGAGCCUGCGCCUGAUUAGCUGGUUGGUGAGGUAACAGCUCACCAAGGCGACGAUCAGUAGCUGGUCUGAGAGGAUGAUCAGCCACACUGGGAUUGAGAACGGCCCAGACUCCCGU